RNAcentral lists this long non-coding RNA (361 nucleotides) under Populus trichocarpa (black cottonwood). RNAcentral's name for it is "long non-coding RNA (PTRI_LNC001456)". The record is from RNAcentral. Lineage: Eukaryota; Viridiplantae; Streptophyta; Magnoliopsida; Malpighiales; Salicaceae.
UGAAAUGGAACCACAGCAGCAUUGCUCAGAUGGGCCAGAACCUGCAUUAAAUGAUUCUGCUGAGUUGCUGCCUCAACCAGAUGAUUCUCCACCACCGCCUCUUGAUUCUCCUCCUCCACCCCCGCCUUUGCCUACCUCUCCACCGCCACCACUACCUCUAUCACCUCCACCCUCAACAUCUCCAUCACCUCCACCUCCACCGCCGCUUCCACCUCCACCUCCACCUCUUCCGUCGCAACCACCACCUCUUCCGUCGCAACCACCACCUCCUCUUCCUCCUGUGCCAACUAUGGUACUGCAACCACCUGUACCAACUCAACCUUUGUUACCAGCCAAACCAAUACAACCAUCUCAUUCAUCC